GCGAGUAAGGUGUUACGGUAGCAUUUCUGGCUUCCAUCCAGACGGCGUGGGUUCAACUCCCGCUACUCGCU
RNAcentral lists this transfer RNA (71 nucleotides) under bacterium. RNAcentral describes it as "tRNA-Gly". It matches the Rfam family "tRNA". Rfam says of the family: Transfer RNA (tRNA) molecules are approximately 80 nucleotides in length. Their secondary structure includes four short double-helical elements and three loops (D, anti-codon, and T loops). Further hydrogen bonds mediate the characteristic L-shaped molecular structure. tRNAs have two regions of fundamental functional importance: the anti-codon, which is responsible for specific mRNA codon recognition, and the 3' end, to which the tRNAs corresponding amino acid is attached (by aminoacyl-tRNA synthetases). tRNAs cope with the degeneracy of the genetic code in two manners: having more than one tRNA (with a specific anti-codon) for a particular amino acid; and 'wobble' base-pairing, i.e. permitting non-standard base-pairing at the 3rd anti-codon position. The record is from RNAcentral.